CGCCCCAGUGCCGCCGGCGGAGCCAGCGCGGAUCGGCCCAGCAUGGAGGGGACGCGGCGAGCCCUGCUCCACCUCGCCGCCGCCUGCUGCCUGCUCUGCGCCCUGCCAGCAGAGGGUCAGAAGACAGCAGAGGCCUUGGUGUCACCAUCACCUCUUCCUAGCACAGCGCUAACCUCGCAUCAGCCAAGGGAAGCCUCUGACUUCAGUCUGGUCACUACUGCCAUUCCUCAGACAAGCCUGGAGAAAAACCUGACUGCUGCAACACUCAGUGCCACUGGGGCUCAUGCUACACAGGUGGAUGAUGCCUUCAUCCCUACCACCCCCAUGGCAAGCUCCAAGGCAGAGAGACUGCAGGCUUCUACCACUGCCAGUCCUGGGGACAUCACAGUUACACAUCCUGAGCAUGACAACAUGAGCUUGUCAGUCAACAGCAGCACUGAAAUCCCCUCCCCUGCCUUGACUGCCAGCACUCUGGAAGAAAACCAGCCCAGCCAUGACGCCACAGAGCCUUUCAGCACAACUGAUGAAACGGAUGAUGCCAGCAGUGCAACCCCCACGCCUCCUCUGAACACUCUGCCCGCAACAACUAACAGCUCUCAGUCGGGGCUUUUGGAUGGGCAGACCCUGAGGCCCACAGCAGCAAGGUCUGAAACAAAGCCAGCAACAAAAACCCCUGGGGGUGCCACAGAGGAGAGCACUGUGGAGCCCAGAACUUCCUCUGCUCCCAUCUCCAUUGUACGAAGCACAGCCUUUGCUACUGCCUCCAGUACUGUGACAGUGACACCCCUUGUGACCAGCUCCACGUCUGCCAGCACAGCUGCCAUCCCCACCAGCACGCCUACACUGGCCCAGUCAUUGGAGCCCAGGCAUGAGAAGACUUCUGUGUUGGAUGUUGGUGAUGAUAACAAUUCAGAGCUACCCAACGUGGCUGGUAAAACGAGGGCUGAUCCCUUGGUAAUCACUGUGAUCUCCGUCUUCAUUGUCAUGGUGGGCAUCCUGGGCCUGGUGGGCUUCUUGCGCUACCGCCAGCACAACAACCGCAUGGAGUUCCGGCGCCUGCAGGACCUGCCCAUGGUGAGUCGUGCCCUCAGCCCAGCCCAUGUGGGCUGCCCUGCCACUGCCCGCUUUGCAGUUCUCCUUCAUUAGCAAUGCUUUGGGUAUUUGCAGCAACACCAAUGCUGAUCACACACUCCUGUUCCUCCUUAGGUCCCUCUCCUUCCAUCCAAGGUUUGAGUCAAGACAGCAAGUCUCAAGGCUGGGCACUAAAGAAGCUCUCUGCCUUCCCCUCACCCUGCAGGGGAAUGCUGAGAGGUUAGAGAGAGGAAGGAGAGCUCCAUCCAGGCUUGUCCUGAAAUGACACCUGCCUAACCUCUCCUCCUGUUUUCUCAUAUAUUUGCUUUGUAACAAUGACAAAGCAGAUUUUAUGCUCUGUUCCAGGGAGGUUGUCUGUCUGUCUGUCUGUGUUUGGCCCUUUGGGAAUAUAAAAAUAUGUGAGGGUUCCAGAGGCUGGACUAACUCUGGGGAAGCUGCAAAUAACUCCCUGAACUUUCUGGAACAGAGGAGUACUGCAGCUAAACAAGCAAGCUGAUGCUGUUUCAAGCUGAGUGGAGUUUUCAACACCCAGUUUUCCACAUCCCUGCAACAGGCAGGCAGUUCCUGCACACACCUCUUCUCUCCAAAUGCUGCAGCAGGAGGGAGACUGAACAGUCCCAAGAUCCAGGAACUGCACAGUGACAGCGUUUAGGUGGAUGGCUGGGCAGAUGGCCACACUGUGAUGGUGUGGCUGUGCUGCCUGCACAGCAGUCACCCAGCUGGGACCAUUAUGCCACCGUGCAGACAUCUCAUUAAAGCACCCUCUUCUCUGCUUCUAGGAUGACAUGAUGGAGGACACCCCUCUCUCCCUCUACAGCUACUAGGCAACCAGGCUGUCUACUGCCCAGAGGAAAAGGCCUUGAGGACUUGGUCCCAGACGAUCUGCUGAGGAAUAUGGGGCUGUGAUUUGCACACAACUGAAAGAUCCUUUUCAGAUGGUUUUUGGUUUUAGACGUUUUAAAUAGUUCAGUGUUGAAGUUUCUAUGCUGCGAAUCAGAGCCCAAGUCUGACCCUCUUCUCCAGGCUGUCCUCAAAACAAUGCCUUGAAGAGGUGUCUCCUCCUUUUAAGUGUGGCAACCAAUUAGCCAAAACAAUCUUUGCCAUGGUGUUCUGCACGGAUCUCUUCUGUUGAUCCUGGUGGCUGCUGCCUUCAAAGGAGGUGGACAAGUGUUUCAGACUAGGGCUCUUAACACUGGUGGUGUCAGCACAGUGCCAGCAAAGGAGACUGCUGUUUUCUGAGGAAGCCAAGAAUGUGGAAAUCAGUUAUCUUGGGCUCCCUCUUGUUCUGUAUUUUUAAAGUUGUUUGUUUUGAUGGUUUUCUUGCACUUUUUUUGUUCCUGUUUCAGCUUUGGUCCCAGGAUUGGCAUUACCCAUCCUGAAACACUUACAGGAGGAUAAAAGACUACUGCGUUUUCUUCCUAGAUGCAUACCUUUUCUCUUUAACCAGGGAAAACAGUUUUGUGGCCACUGGAGAAGUGCCCCUGCUUCUUGAUGUUGCUUUGAAGUUGCUGGGAGGAAAUUGAACAUAAUGUUAGCUUAACCGAGCUUGAUAGGACUCAGUCUAUUGCAAAUUAGACACACUAAUUUGGUCUCACCAAAAUUAGGAAGCCGUGUCUCCUACACUUGAUGCUUUUGGCAUAUGUCUAAACUCCUUUCCCAGGCUCAGUAAAUGCUUUAGUCCAUUUCCCUGCCUCGGCUAACACAAGCCUUUCCUCAGGUACCUCCCAUUUUGCUUCUAGCAUCUGGUUGCUGGAAGUUGUUGUACAAAGCUGGUGCUUCGCUCUCCCUCCUGUGCUAUGCAAGGUCAGAGCUCCUCUACUUUUUGAUGUUGGAUUUUUGAGCCAUUUGGUGUCUUGUCAUGAGGACAGAUCCUGGAUGUAGGUGCCUUCCUCCCCUUCCCUUUCUUAGUGUUAUGCUGAUUAGAUUCUGCACUUUUGCCUCAAAAUAUCACUGCUGUAGACUGCAUCCAAAGCUCUUGAGGCCUUUCAAGGAAACCCAUAGACCAGAGCCUCUGAGUGUAAAUCAGAGGAGCUUCUGGUGCCCUUGCCUCAGAAAGACCAGAGUGUUUGUGACAUGACAAUCUUCAUGUAACUACACCUGCUCUCGUUUUCUAGCUCACAUUUGACUGCAGGUAAAUGGAAACACAUGCCUUCUCUAGAGUGUUUGGUUUUUGACUACUCCAGUUGCUCCUUCAGGAUACAGCAAGGGCUAGAGUUUAUCUGCCACAUUGCUCUACAAACCUCAGUUUCUCCUCUUCUUUCAGUAACAAUAUCACUGAACCCCACAAAGGACAGAUACCAGGCCUCACUUGCAAAAGUACCUUUUUUUCCCCAGUUGUAGCAGGGAAAGGGCAAAUUCCCCAUCAGCUGAGCUCAAGUUACCUGGAAAGCCCAAAGGUGAAGCAGAACCAGUCUGAGUCAAUUAGAUGAACUGGGUAAGGCAGCAGUUCCUCCUCCCUGUGCUGCUGCUUCCAGAGUGGCUGACAAAUGGCUGCAGUGCAGUUGAGCUUCAGCUUGGCCUUCCAUCUGUGUACUGAUGCCCAGUAAAAUAGAGAAGACGGUUGGUUCUCUCCUAUGAUUGCAUGAGAACUAAAGAGCAAUUGUCACAACUCCAAAGCUUUUGUAUCAAGCAUUGUCUGCACAGAGCAAUCUCCCUAGCUACAGACUUGUUUCCCCUGCCGGAGGGCAGGGUGCUGCUGGUUUUCGGCACAAAGUUGGCAAGUUAGUGGUGGAAAAUAGAACUCCAUGGAACUGGUACAGGCUGGCAUAUCUGGGAAUGUGUCUGCACACAAUCAAAAGGGCAGAGGCUGGUUGUUCUGGUUUCCCAUGCAUGGCUGUGCAGGGGAAAGGGAUGAGGAAAAACUCACCCAACACCAAAGUGCUACUUUGUUUGUAAAAUAUGUUGAUAGUGGAUUUUUUUUUUCUGCAAUAAAGUUAUAAAUGCCAAAAGUGUCUCA
This is a long non-coding RNA of Lonchura striata (white-rumped munia), 4048 nucleotides long. The record is from Ensembl. Lineage: Eukaryota; Metazoa; Chordata; Aves; Passeriformes; Estrildidae.